Molecule: ribosomal RNA, 397 nt
Filed under: uncultured bacterium
Lineage: Bacteria
Description: partial 16S ribosomal RNA
Rfam family: Bacterial small subunit ribosomal RNA
Source: RNAcentral
AUACGGAGGGUGCAAGCGUUGUUCGGAAUUACUGGGCGUAAAGGGCGCGCAGGCGGCCUGCCAAGUCAGAUGUGAAAUGCCAUGGCUUAACCAUGGACGUGCAUUUGAAACUGGUGGGCUUGAGUACCAGAGGGGAAGGCGGAAUUCCCGGUGUAGAGGUGAAAUUCGUAGAUAUCGGGAGGAAUACCGGUGGCGAAGGCGACUUUCUGGCUGGAUACUGACGCUGAGGCGCGAAAGCGUGGGGAGCAAACAGGAUUAGAUACCCUGGUAGUCCACGCUGUAAACGAUGUGAACUAGAUGUAGGGGGUGUUGAUCCCCUCUGUGUCGCAGCUAACGCAUUAAGUUCACCGCCUGGGGAGUACGGUCGCAAGAUUAAAACUCAAAUGAAUUGACGGGG